GUUCAGGACACAUAUGAAAAAAACAAAUGAAAACCCUAAAAAAUUCCACCUCUGUGGGCUAGAAUCUCAGACAAAUUAGAAGUCUGUAUAUGCAUGCUUGGUUGGGAAAAUUUGACCUCAUAACUCUUACAUUUCUCCUAAGUUAAUUUUUUUUCUAAUCCAAUAUUUAAGCUUCACAUGAUCCUAAUAAGAAUUGCAAUAGCUCUUUUUGAGGGAGACAGGAGGAAUGGGGAACCAGAUAGGAUGAUUAUAAAAUUCAUAUGGAAAAAUAAGCAUAAUCCUGCAAUUUGUUCCUUUUUACUCAAAUUAUGUUUAAAAAACGAUCCAUGUUGAUACACAUAGUCAUGCAUUGUUGUACAUGUUAUAUGAUAUUUUCCCACUGUGUGAAGACACUAAGUUAUUAGUUGGCCUGUGGUGGAUGAUAUUAAGAUGUUUCCUGGGUUGUGGUUGUGGAAUCUCCUUUUGAUCGGUAUGCGCGUGUGUGUGUGUGUAUAUGUGCGUGCGUGCAUGUGUGUAUAUGUGUGUGUGUGUGUGUGUGAGAGAGAGAGAGAGAGAGAGAGAGAGAGGCAGGUAGCUUCGGGCUCCUGUACCAUCUAGGGACUAAAAAUUCAGACCUACACAGUCCUACAUAGGACAGUCACUUGGGAUUUUUGAAUUCUUGCCGACAACUUAAAAUUUGCCUAGCAAUUUGCCUGAUGCUUCCCAGGGUUGAUGGAAAUGGGUCUUCUUGGCCCUCUAUGAGAGCUCUGUGCUUUCUCUGUGCACAGGCUGGAGGCCCCAGUGCUGUUCUGCGAGCAUUAAAAUCCCGGCCCCCAUGUCACUGGGUCCAAGCCCCCUGUGGGUCACCAUAGUAUACCAUAGUAUCUGUUUCUGCUUAUGGCUUUGGCUUCAAGGUCCCUUUUAUCUGACUUCUGGGACUUUCAGUUCUUUCCUUUAAGCUUGACUAUGCAUUUGUCAUCUCUAUGUUGUGCAUCACAGCAUUUCCACGGAGCUGUGGGUGGUGGGAAGCCCUUUUGUGUCAGCUCUGUUCGCCGCACUGCUGCAAGUCCAGGACUCUCGAUGGAUGCCCCGGACAUUCCAUCCUGUGUGAUCCCUCCAGCCACUCUUCCUAUACUGUAAAUCUGCAAAAGUGUCCCUGGUGGGGGCAGAAGCAUGCAGGUGACCUUUAGAACCUAUCUGAGGAGGACUGGUGUUUGAAGGCCAGAAUUGCCCCCCACUCCCGCCCCACCAGCUCAGGAAUGGACAGGGCCAGCCCCUCAUCCAAGGGAUCAGGACAAGCGACCCCUUUCCUACCAACAGGGACGAAGAAGUGAACUGCCCUGUCCGUGGUCACCCAACGAUUAGCGGAACCAGCAUCCCUGCCAGGCAGAGAGACCGAGGUGACGAUUGAGGCUAGAUUUCAACAUGGAGAGGAUUUGAACAUGGAACCACGGGAAGAGGAUGAUGUUAGGCUAAGGGGUCAGCCGAACCAAGGUGGAUAGCAGAUGACAGCAAUGGCCACCGUACAUUAAAAAGAGCUGACACUGGGAUGCCUGGGGGGCUCGGUGGUGGAGCGUCUGCCAUAGGGUUAAGGGCGUGAUCCUGGGGUCCUGGGAUCGAGUCCCCACAGGGAGCCUGCCUAUGUCCUUGCCCCUCUCUCUGUGUCCCUCAUGAAUGAAU
Molecule: long non-coding RNA, 1659 nt
Organism: Vulpes vulpes (red fox)
Lineage: Eukaryota; Metazoa; Chordata; Mammalia; Carnivora; Canidae
Source: Ensembl